Molecule: long non-coding RNA, 4197 nt
Organism: Dermacentor silvarum
Lineage: Eukaryota; Metazoa; Arthropoda; Arachnida; Ixodida; Ixodidae
Exons: 5
Source: RefSeq, a predicted model, not a curated record
AAAAAUAACUGGCGUUGGGUAGAUAGGGAGUGCUGAAUACGCCCAUAUCUAACCCGAGCCAAACAGCUAAAGAACAACUCAGCCGCCAGGUGCCGCCUGCCAUGACCAACAUGGCUGUCACCCCGAGCGACAAUUUCAGUAGAAUUUCUGCACUCAGAUUCGAAAUAUCCCGCGCAAUGCGCGUCCGCGUUGUUUUUCUGUUUGGAGUAGCCGCGCUAGCGCUGCAGGCGCUGCAGAGAAUGCCGCGCCAAACCCGAAACUACGCCACCGUACCGAAACUUUCGAAACGCCGCGCCGACGGGUCUUCGGAGUGCGCGCGCUCGAAGCGACCAAGCGGCAGCCAUUACCACCAGCGUCGGCGCAUUGUUCUGCCGUCGUUGGUGUCUCCCGCAGUUUCGAACAGCCAAGACUCCACGACUGCAGCCGUUUCAUUGCCAGCUGUAAGGAUGAAGCAGCUUCAUAGCCGGACAUCAGACGCCUUCCAAGUUCCCCUUUUCAGCAACAGAGGCAUAGGAUGCCAUUCUACCUGUGCUGCAUUGUGUGGCUGACCACUCCUAGGAUCUCAGCAGAAUCAUUACACAGUUUCAGAAGCCACAAUUGCCUGGCAUGCUGUCUGGUCAUGAUGCAUGGCUACAAUUUGAUCCUGCUGACCCCAAGCAUGGUGUGAAAUGAAGAAAUGGCACUCCACAUCCAUAGAGAGCUUGAUUUCUCCUGUUUCAUGCUUACUUGUUGGCAUAGCCAGUCUGUUAGCUUAAUUUUUGGUUCUUCCCUAUUGAAUGCUCAAGAAAGGCACCAAAACUGUCAUUCAUUGAAAAAAAAGUUGUUUGCAGACACUGCCAUGCACAAAGCCCUUGACCUCAUUGAAUGUUUUUAAAAGAAAAUGCAGCUUCUGUGUGCAGCAAUAGGCUGAACAAGAUGAGGGCAAACAGGAAGGUUGCGACAUUAGUGUUCAAGAGUUGGCCAACAAAGAAGGUCACAAGCUGAAGCCAACAUCUUUACAAGGCAACAAAUGGAUUUAGCCUGAGCCAUUCCCUGUUCGACCAGCCAAGUCUCCUUGUUGAAACAUGUGCUCUAACCUGAGGCAUACAUAUCCCGUUCUACGACUCUCGAUCAACGAUACACCAAUACAAUUAACAACUCAUGGCAAGGUCGUAAAUUCACGUUUUAAGGGAAUGUAGUGUGCACCCUGCAAGGUAGCAUGAAUAGUAUGGCAUUUACUUGAAUGAAAUGCAGAUUUGCUUGCCAGUUACUUUAUCCCCAUGCUAUAAUUGGAAAGCAUGGUUCCUAAGAGAGAAUAAUGAUUUGAAGUUCACGCAGUUUUGCUCCUUUAUGUAAGUUCACACUGUUACGGUUGCUACACUACCAGUCCUGUCUGCAACUGCAUAGUAGUGUUCCGAGUACGCAGCCCAAUUCAAUAGAAAAGGUAGGCUUUUUCCUCAAAAAAUGUGUUGCUGCCUCACAGCUUGAUGCAGACAAGUAUUUUAUAUCUGGAUGGUGACUGCAAUAGGAUGUGCUUCUUAAAUAAGAGCGAUAUGCUGUUUCAAGUGCAAUUAAAUGCAAUUUCAAAUGACCUCAGCUUGGGAGAUCACACGAUGGGAGGCCAAUGUGAGAAGGAGGAUUUGAUAUUGUUACGUUCGAUAUGUUACAUUACAUACUGUGACAAUAUCUUAGAACAAGGCACUUGAACAUGAGAAAGCACGACUUAUUUCAUCUAAAGUUGCUACUGUUGGAUAUGAUCAGGGAAGGUACUUAUUCGUGACUCCAUUUGCAACAUGUUACAAUGCUGGCUUAAUAUUUUGCACUGGGUAGAUGAAAAAAACCACUGCUUGCACAAUAUUCAACUAAACAAGGUUUAGUUGAACAACUAAACACAAUAUUCAACUAAAGAACUAAACACAAUAUUCAACUAAACAAACACAACUCAUGCACUAUUAGAAAAUAAAUACGAAGGGUGAUCGUUUCUAAGUUUUAUGGAAUUUUUAAAAAUUGCCUGUGGCAGACAGCAUAAUUCUUGUCCUUGAGCUGGACUAUUUGAAGAGGCGGAUUACUAGCACAAGAAAUCGAAACACAUAUUCAAUUAGUUAAUGAAAAUUUCAGUAAUUAACUUCUUAACUGAUUAGUUUACAACGCAUAUUGCAAUUAACAAAUGGUAGCCAGAGAGCUUGCAAGACAUCUACUUGAAAUGGAUUUCCAGGAUGACACCAGUUUCGAGAUAUUAUUUCCAAAGUGUGGGACGAAAUACAUGAAUGUUCUAGUUACUUUUGUGCUUCAAUGGAGAAGACAGCAUUUUGUUAAAAAUAUAAGUUGAUAAACAGUGCAUUUUUAGGGCAAGUUUGAUGGCAUAUAUUUCCAAACUGGUGUCAUUAUGGAAAUUCAUUCCAAGUGGAUAUGCCUUGCAAACUCACCGGCUACAAUUCGUAAAUUGCAAUAUCGGCCGUAAAGUACUUAAUUCAAAAGAUAAUUAGUGGAUUUUUGUUAGUUAGCUGAAUAUGUGCUACGAUUUGUCGUGAAAGUAAUGUCCGCAUCUCUGACAAAUACAGUUAAGGACUAGAAUUAUGAUAUCUGCAACAGGUUAUUUUUAAGAAUUGUGUAAAACAUAAAAAUGAUCACCCUGUAUAUAGGGGACCCUGUUUGGAACUUUCACAAAUCUAGUCAUAAACAAAAAGACCAAGGAUCAAAUCCCGGCCAUGCCGGCCACAUUUCGAUGGGAGCGAAAUACAAGAAAACCUGUGUACUUAUAUUUAAACGUACAUUAAAGAAUCCCAGGUGGCCCAACUUAAUCCAGAGUCCCUUCCAACGACGGCAUGUCUCAGAAUCAUACGAUGGUUUUGGCUCAUAAAACACUAUAAAUAAAUUUUUAAUCUUUAGUAACCUGCUUUUUAAAAAAUGCAACGCAAUCACUAAACCAAAUGUUUUAGCUCGUUUGAGUGAUGAGUCCCAAUUUCUUAAUUUAGUACUUAGGUAUUUAUCAUCGUAUGUUUUGUGCUAGUUCAUGCAAAAUACCACCUCUGGUUGGCCUCAUUCUACAGUCCACUGUUAAUUUUGGGUGGCUUAGUCAUGCAAGUUCAACAUAUAUAUAGCCUGCAAUAUUGUGGAAUGUCUGCCCAAAGUAACAGUUCAAACAAAUGGUUCUGUAUUUAUGGUUCAAUAUGGGACGAAAUAAGAUUUCUUAAAUUAUCGUUUCUUGCGUUCACUAAUUCUAUUGUGUUAGGACGUGUACAAUAGUAUUGACUGGCAUGUUUGCGAUGUAGUUUUUUUUUAAUCCAGACAGUUUUUUAAUGGUACAAGGAAUGCUUUUGAUUUGGCAGAAAGAACAUAUUUUAUUAUAUUUGUUACAUUUGGUGUAUAAUAAAUGUUGUUCUCUUUAGUGUGUGUGUGUGUGUGUGUCGUGUAUUUUUCCUCUCAGCGAGUAGCAUCUGCUCUCGGAAGGCCCCUGCUGACCUCGGAGGCACUGCCGAUUACUAGCAUUUUCGCGAGGACGACUGCAUGACAGCACAAGGUUUGCCAAGAGGGGCUCUGCGAUCAGUGAAAGUGCAGCGAUGGGUUCAUUCGUCAUUGGACCACGUGUGCGCGUGACUUCGUGAAUUCCCAGGGCCGUCGCUUGUGUCACGUGUGGCGAGCACGCGGCGAAAUGUUUCGUGGCUGGACGCCGCCGCGCUUACGCAGUGGCAGACGGGAUACAGCAGGCUAAAGUGUCGGACGCCGGCGAUAGCUACAAGCGUCGGUAGUGCGGGCCAAACGCACGCUCGGGCGGCAGCUCCUCGGACGGCCCCGUUCUCUUGAGCCUUGGUGUCCGGCGUCCGACAGUUUGGCCUGUGGUGAUCCGUUGGGUGCUGUGUAAGCGCGUGACCCAUCGCCACCAAGCAUUUCGCUUCGUGGUCGCCCCACGUAAACUAAAGCGCUUUUAAUUGCAUCCAUAAAUUCUCUAAUUAAUACCAAAAACGCCCUAAAUGCCGCCUUAAUUUCAUCGCAAAUGCUCCCAUUUGGAAAUGAUAAAACUCCCAUUGAGGCCUGCAACACCUCCCAGUCAAAUGGGGGUAAAGUGGGCAUUUUACGGUACUCCCGUAGUAUGCCGAAGGAAUGCCCACCUAAAUGGGAGUUUUAUCGUACGCCCAUUCUAUGGGAGCAAAAACAUGUACAAAUGGGAAUGCGCUAGAGGACAAGUGAAAAACGCCCAUCUGGGUGUUUUUCUGUUUA